UAAACGACUCUCGGCAACGGAUAUCUCGGCUCACGCAUCGAUGAAGAACGUAGCAAAAUGCGAUACUUGGUGUGAAUUGCAGAAUCCCGUGAACCAUCGAGUUUUUGAACGCAAGUUGCGCCCGAAGCCUUCCGGAUAAGGGCACGUCUGCCUGGGCGUCACGC
Molecule: ribosomal RNA, 164 nt
Filed under: Bidens sp. 'Starbuck Island'
Lineage: Eukaryota; Viridiplantae; Streptophyta; Magnoliopsida; Asterales; Asteraceae
Description: 5.8S ribosomal RNA
Rfam family: 5.8S ribosomal RNA
About the family: 5.8S ribosomal RNA (5.8S rRNA) is a component of the large subunit of the eukaryotic ribosome. It is transcribed by RNA polymerase I as part of the 45S precursor that also contains 18S and 28S rRNA.
Source: RNAcentral